Molecule: long non-coding RNA, 625 nt
Organism: Rhopalosiphum padi (bird cherry-oat aphid)
Lineage: Eukaryota; Metazoa; Arthropoda; Insecta; Hemiptera; Aphididae
Exons: 3
Source: RefSeq, a predicted model, not a curated record
UUAGCUACAUAAUUGAAUGGAUGAUCGACCAUUUUUUUUCUUCUAAGAACGCGUGCUAUUAAAUUAUAGAAAUUUCAGUUAAAAAAAAGUCUGUGCCAGGAAUAAAGCCGACGUGUUUCAUUCUAUAUAAAAUAUUAUCAUAAUCAUCUCUGAGGGCUGUUACAUUCGAUAAAACCAAAAGCACGCGCAGAGUGACCAUAAAUGAUAUGUACACGUGUCCGUGUCAUAAUAAUACCUGGAUGUCAGACAUCUCCUGGUCUGAAACGCGACUCCUCCGCCACAACUACGGGAACAUUGGCUAUCGUCGGACCACGGACUCCAUUCACCACUCUCCGAGGUACUGCCGUCCAGAUAAACAUGAUAUUCUGGUACGAAUCCCGAGCUGCUAAACGUAUUGUUCCAUUGUUGUCUUUUGUGUCGACCAUGUCGGAGGUGAUGCUACAAGAAUUCAAACCAUAUAUGAUACAAUUAUUAAUAUUAGAUAUAUAUCUAAUGGACAGCGAUAAACAUCGAUCAGUUGAAAUCCACGCUGCAUUAAAUGUAAACAUUAUUAUAAUAGGUACAUAAUGUAAUAUUUGAAUUUAAUGAUCUGGCAUUUUAGCGCAAUAUAAUAUUAUACAAAUCA